Molecule: ribosomal RNA, 229 nt
Filed under: uncultured bacterium
Lineage: Bacteria
Description: partial 16S ribosomal RNA
Rfam family: Bacterial small subunit ribosomal RNA
Source: RNAcentral
GAUCCUGGCUCGGGAUGAACGCUAGCUACGGGCUUAACACAUGCAAGUCGAGGGGCAGCAUGGUCUUAGCUUGCUAAGGCCGAUGGCGACCGGCGCACGGGUGAGUAACACGUAUCCAACCUGCCGUCUACUCUUGGACAGCCUUCUGAAAGGAAGAUUAAUACAAGAUGGCAUCAUGAGUUCACAUGUUCACAUGAUUAAAGGUAUUCCGGUAGACGAUGGGGAUGCG